UGUGAAUAAAAGAGGAGAUCGUUCUCCUCUUGGGUGAGAGACCUAGAACUGUUCUAGAUAUUUGGGUGAGAAAAAAACUAAAGAGAAGAGAGUCUUCAUCUAAAUUUUCUCCACCAUUUAUUAUUCUUCUUUGAUUCAUCUUUAACAUCAAAAAGAUUUGAGGUGAUCAAAGAGGAAGAUAAAGUUAGAUCUGCCAUCAAAAGCCGACUGUGCGAGCUAGCACUUCCGCGGAGGGCUGAUUAGUCCGAGAGACUUCUGUGGACCAUCCGUAG
This 272-nucleotide long non-coding RNA is filed under the name Elaeis guineensis (African oil palm). Its description in RNAcentral is "long non-coding RNA (EGUI_LNC077542)". The record is from RNAcentral. Lineage: Eukaryota; Viridiplantae; Streptophyta; Magnoliopsida; Arecales; Arecaceae.